Molecule: ribosomal RNA, 923 nt
Filed under: uncultured bacterium
Lineage: Bacteria
Description: bacterial SSU rRNA
Rfam family: Bacterial small subunit ribosomal RNA
Source: RNAcentral
UGAGGUGCUUGCACCUUAUCUUAGCGGCGGACGGGUGAGUAAUGCUUAGGAAUCUGCCUAUUAGUGGGGGACAACAUUCCGAAAGGAAUGCUAAUACCGCAUACGCCCUACGGGGGAAAGCAGGGGAUCUUCGGACCUUGCGCUAAUAGAUGAGCCUAAGUCGGAUUAGCUAGUUGGUGGGGUAAAGGCCUACCAAGGCGACGAUCUGUAGCGGGUCUGAGAGGAUGAUCCGCCACACUGGGACUGAGACACGGCCCAGACUCCUACGGGAGGCAGCAGUGGGGAAUAUUGGACAAUGGGCGGAAGCCUGAUCCAGCCAUGCCGCGUGUGUGAAGAAGGCCUUUUGGUUGUAAAGCACUUUAAGCGAGGAGGAGGCUACUUAGAUUAAUACUCUAGGAUAGUGGACGUUACUCGCAGAAUAAGCACCGGCUAACUCUGUGCCAGCAGCCGCGGUAAUACAGAGGGUGCGAGCGUUAAUCGGAUUUACUGGGCGUAAAGCGUGCGUAGGCGGCUGAUUAAGUCGGAUGUGAAAUCCCUGAGCUUAACUUAGGAAUUGCAUUCGAUACUGGUCAGCUAGAGUAUGGGAGAGGAUGGUAGAAUUCCAGGUGUAGCGGUGAAAUGCGUAGAGAUCUGGAGGAAUACCGAUGGCGAAGGCAGCCAUCUGGCCUAAUACUGACGCUGAGGUACGAAAGCAUGGGGAGCAAACAGGAUUAGAUACCCUGGUAGUCCAUGCCGUAAACGAUGUCUACUAGCCGUUGGGACCUUUGAGGCUUUAGUGGCGCAGCUAACGCGAUAAGUAGACCGCCUGGGGAGUACGGUCGCAAGACUAAAACUCAAAUGAAUUGACGGGGGCCCGCACAAGCGGUGGAGCAUGUGGUUUAAUUCGAUGCAACGCGAAGAACCUUACCUGGUCUUGACAUAGU